AGUCGAGCGGUAGAGAGGUGCUUGCACCUCUUGAGAGCGGCGGACGGGUGAGUAAUGCCUAGGAAUCUGCCUGGUAGUGGGGGAUAACGUCCGGAAACGGACGCUAAUACCGCAUACGUCCUACGGGAGAAAGCAGGGGACCUUCGGGCCUUGCGCUAUCAGAUGAGCCUAGGUCGGAUUAGCUAGUUGGUGAGGUAAUGGCUCACCAAGGCGACGAUCCGUAACUGGUCUGAGAGGAUGAUCAGUCACACUGGAACUGAGACACGGUCCAGACUCCUACGGGAGGCAGCAGUGGGGAAUAUUGGACAAUGGGCGAAAGCCUGAUCCAGCCAUGCCGCGUGUGUGAAGAAGGUCUUCGGAUUGUAAAGCACUUUAAGUUGGGAGGAAGGGUACUUACCUAAUACGUGAGUAUUUUGACGUUACCGACAGAAUAAGCACCGGCUAACUCUGUGCCAGCAGCCGCGGUAAUACAGAGGGUGCGAGCGUUAAUCGGAAUUACUGGGCGUAAAGCGCGCGUAGGUGGUUCGUUAAGUUGGAUGUGAAAUCCCCGGGCUCAACCUGGGAACUGCAUCCAAAACUGGCGAGCUAGAGUAUGGUAGAGGGUGGUGGAAUUUCCUGUGUAGCGGUGAAAUGCGUAGAUAUAGGAAGGAACACCAGUGGCGAAGGCGACCACCUGGACUGAUGCUGACACUGGGGGGCGAAAGCGUGGGGAGCAAACGGGAUUACAUCCCCUGGUAGUCCACGCCGUAGAACGAUGUCAACUAGCCGUUGGGAGCCUUGAGCUCUUAGUGGCGCAGCUAACGCAUUAAGUUGACCGCCUGGGGAGUACGGCCGCAAGGUUAAAACUCAAAUGAAUUGACGGGGGCCCGCCCAAGCGGUGGAGCAUGUGGUUUAAUUCGAAGCAACGCGAAGAACCUUACCAGGCCUUGACAUCCAAUGAACUUUCCAGAGAUGGAUUGGUGCCUUCGGGAACAUUGAGACAGGUGCUGCAUGGCUGUCGUCAGCUCGUGUCGUGAGAUGUUGGGUUAAGUCCCGUAACGAGCGCAACCCUUGUCCUUAGUUACCAGCACGUUAUGGUGGGCACUCUAAGGAGACUGCCGGUGACAAACCGGAGGAAGGUGGGGAUGACGUCAAGUCAUCAUGGCCCUUACGGCCUGGGCUACACACGUGCUACAAUGGUCGGUACAAAGGGUUGCCAAGCCGCGAGGUGGAGCUAAUCCCAUAAAACCGAUCGUAGUCCGGAUCGCAGUCUGCAACUCGACUGCGUGAAGUCGGAAUCGCUAGUAAUCGCGAAUCAGAAUGUCGCGGUGAAUACGUUCCCGGGCCUUGUACACACCGCCCGUCACACCAUGGGAGUGGGUUGCACCAGAAGUAGCUAGUCUAACCUUCGGGAGGACGGUUACCACG
Molecule: ribosomal RNA, 1407 nt
Filed under: Pseudomonas sp. DB15
Lineage: Bacteria; Pseudomonadati; Pseudomonadota; Gammaproteobacteria; Pseudomonadales; Pseudomonadaceae
Also listed under: 1 other name
Description: 16S ribosomal RNA
Rfam family: Bacterial small subunit ribosomal RNA
Source: RNAcentral